UGCCAGACUCCUACGGGAGGCAGCAGUGGGGGAUAUUGCACAAUGGGGGGAACCCUGAUGCAGCGACGCCGCGUGGGUGAAGGAGCACCUCGGUGCGUAAAGCCCUAUCGGCAGGGAAGAAAAGCGAACAGGUUCGCCUGGACGGUACCUGAAGAAGAAGCCCCGGCUAACUACGUGCCAGCAGCCGCGGUAAUACGUAGGGGGCAAGCGUUAUCCGGAUUUACUGGGUGUAAAGGGGGCGCAGACGGCGAUGCAAGCCAGGAGUGAAAGCCCGGGGCCCAACCCCAGGACUGCUCUUGGAACUGCGUGGCUGGAGUGCAGGAGGGGCAGGCGGAAUUCCUGGUGUAGCGGUGAAAUGCGUAGAUAUCAGGAGGAACACCGGUGGCGAAGGCGGCCUGCUGGACUGCAACUGACGUUGAGGCCCGAAAGCGUGGGGAGCAAACAGGAUUAGAUACCCUAGUAGU
This 464-nucleotide ribosomal RNA is filed under the name uncultured bacterium. Its description in RNAcentral is "bacterial SSU rRNA". It matches the Rfam family "Bacterial small subunit ribosomal RNA", at positions 329 to 794 of the family's 1533-position model. The record is from RNAcentral.